UUAUUUUUUAUUUAUUAAUUAAUUUUUUUUUUUAUUUAAAUUAUUAAAAGUAAUUAUUAAAUGAUUUGUUUAAGUAUUUUAUAAAGAAAAAAUAAUUUUAAUUAUAGUUAAAUAGUAUUGUGAAAGAAAAUUGAAAUAAUUUGAAAAAUUAAUAUUUUAAAAGAAAAUUUAAUUUAUUGUACCUUGUGUAUCAGGGUUUAUUUAAUAAAAAUUAUUUAUUAUAAUUUUCUCGAUUUUAAAAGAGUUAAUAUAUUAUGAAAGUUAAUGUAAUAAAAUUAUUUUGUAUAAUAUAUUAGAAAUGAAAUGUUAUUCGUUUUUAAAGGUAUCUAGUUCUUUAAGAAAUAAAUUUAAUUUAGAAAUUUUAUAUUAUUUAAUUAAGUGUAUUAGUUAAAUAAUUAUUUUAUUUUAAUAUUUUGUGGGAUAAGCUAUGAAAUAAAUUAUUAAAAAUUAUUAGGUAAUUUAAGAAAUAUAAGCUUAGAAAUAGUUAUUAUUAAUAAAAGUGUUAUAAUUUAUUUUAUUAUAUUAAUUAUUUAUUAAAUUUUAAUUAUGUAUUAAAGUAUUUAUUUUAAUUAUAAAAAUAAAAAAAUAAUGAUAAAAUUAGUAUAUUAUAUUGUAUAAAUAAUAAUAAUUGAAAAGUUUUUAUAAAGAACUCGGCAAAAAUAAUGUUCGCCUGUUUAACAAAAACAUGUCUUUUUGAAUUUUUUUUUAAGUCUAACCUGCCCACUGAAUUAUUUAAAUGGCCGCAGUAUACUAACUGUGCAAAGGUAGCAUAAUCAUUAGUCUUUUAAUUGAAGGCUGGUAUGAAUGGUUGGACGAGAUAUUAACUGUUUCAUAUAAAUUUAUAAUAGAAUUUUAUUUUUUAGUUAAAAAGCUAAAAUUUAAUUAAAAGACGAGAAGACCCUAUAAAUCUUUAUAUAUAUGAAUUAUUGUAAUUUUGUGGAUUUUUUUUGUUAUAAUAAUUAAUUAUAUUUUAUUGGGGUGAUAUUAAAAUUUAAUAAACUUUUAAUUUUUUUUGUCAUUAAUUUAUGAAUAAUUGAUCCGUUAAUAGUGAUUAAAAAAAUAAGUUACUUUAGGGAUAACAGCGUAAUUUUUUUGGAGAGUUCAUAUCGAUAAAAAAGAUUGCGACCUCGAUGUUGGAUUAAGAUAUAAUUUUAGGUGUAGCCGCUUAAAUUUUAAGUCUGUUCGACUUUUAAAUUCUUACAUGAUCUGAGUUCAAACCGGCGUAAGCCAGGUUGGUUUCUAUCUUUAAUAAAUAUAAAUAUUUCAGUACGAAAGGACCUAAUAUUUAAUAAAUAAUUAUUAAAAAAUUGAAUAUAAUUAAUAUAU
Molecule: ribosomal RNA, 1326 nt
Filed under: Sarcophaga gracilior
Lineage: Eukaryota; Metazoa; Arthropoda; Insecta; Diptera; Sarcophagidae
Description: 16S ribosomal RNA
Rfam family: Archaeal large subunit ribosomal RNA (bases 1075-1234)
Source: RNAcentral